RNAcentral lists this long non-coding RNA (528 nucleotides) under Helianthus annuus (common sunflower). Lineage: Eukaryota; Viridiplantae; Streptophyta; Magnoliopsida; Asterales; Asteraceae. The record is from RNAcentral.
AUGUUGGAUGCUGAAGAUGACAUGCAAGGGUUGGUGCAUGAUGCAUUCAACGGGUUUGGUGAGAACAUACAUGAAAAUGAAAUAGGGACACAAAAUGAAAGUCAAAUUCUCGGUUCUUUCUUUUAUCAUUAGACUAUUUCAUAGUAAGUGUAUUGGGAAAUGUAAUGACAAGGGUUUCAGCAUGAUGCUUGAUACAUUGAGGGAAGCCUUCCCAUAUGCUUCCAUACCGAAGUCAUUGUAUGACCUAAGGAAGAUAAUAAGAGAAUUAGGACUUAGUUAUGAUAAAAUUGAUGCAUGUCCUAAUGAUUGUAUGCUGUACUGGAAAGAAAACAGUAAGAAAACAAAAUGUGAUAUAUGUCAUACGUCAAGGUACACAGCAAAUGAAAAUGAUCCUGAUGAUGAGUUAACCAUACCUGAUACGGAUAAGAAGAUUAAGAAGAUUGGAGCAAAGGUUUUACGUCAUUUUCCGCUCAUACCACGGCUGCAAAGGUUGUUUAUGUCAUCUAAAACUGCUGCCUCCAUGAGAUG